Molecule: unclassified non-coding RNA, 285 nt
Filed under: plant metagenome
Description: partial contains small subunit ribosomal RNA, internal transcribed spacer 1, and 5.8S ribosomal RNA
Rfam family: Eukaryotic small subunit ribosomal RNA (bases 1-54)
Source: RNAcentral
GGAAGUAAAAGUCGUAACAAAGUUUCCGUAGGCGAACCUGCGGAAGGAUCAUUAUUGUAUAACCGAGGUGCGAGGGCUGUCGCUGACCCGAAAGGUCGUGCACGCCCGAGUGCCCUCACACACAUCCAUCUCACCCCUAUGUGCACCACCGCGUGGGUCCCCCUUUGGCUUGUUCGGAGGGGGGCUUACGUUUUCACACAAACUUUGUAUGCAGUGUAGAAUGUAUUUUUUGUUCUUGCGAUCACGCAAUCAAUACAACUUUCAACAACGGAUCUCUUGGCUCUC